This 426-nucleotide ribosomal RNA is filed under the name uncultured archaeon. Its description in RNAcentral is "bacterial SSU rRNA". It matches the Rfam family "Archaeal small subunit ribosomal RNA", at positions 474 to 903 of the family's 1478-position model. The record is from RNAcentral.
UACCAGCUCUCCGAGUGGUAGGGAUGUUUAUUGGGCUUAAAGCGUCCGUAGCCGGCUUAGCAAGUCUCCUGUUAAAUUCAGCGACCUAAUCGUUGAGCCGCGGGAGAUACUACUAGGCUAGGAGGCGGGAGAGGUCAACGGUACUUCCGGGGUAGGGGUGAAAUCCUAUAAUCCCGGGAGGACCACCAGUGGCGAAGGCUGUUGACUAGAACGCGCUCGACGGUGAGGGACGAAAGCUGGGGGAGCGAACCGGAUUAGAUACCCGGGUAGUCCCAGCUGUAAACGAUGCGUGCUAGGUGUUGGGGUGGCUACGUGCCACUUCAGUGCCGCAGGGAAGCCAUUAAGCCCGCCGCCUGGGGAGUACGGCCGCAAGGCUGAAACUUAAAGGAAUUGGCGGGGAGCACACAAGGCGUGAAGCUGCGGUUC